AAUAGCCUCAUCAUUCAAGUCAGGCAAAGUUCUGCCUCCCCUGAAAUCACUGGCAGUCUUCAAAAGUUCUAGAGAACAGAUUAUGCUGACUCUCCAGAGCCUAAAUUUACCUUUCCUUCAAAAAUAAGUCAGACUGAGGAAUGAGUAGCACUUGCUUUUGCACAGCAGUGAGGCAAGGAGUUCACUGUUUAUUCUGAUUUGGAUCCAAGCUCUGACAAUGACAGAACAGCUGGAUGUCAGGAACCAAACCUCUCACAAUGAUCCCCUGGCAGGGGUAAGCCCUUGUGCAAUUUACCCUUUUUGUCCGUAACUAAGAAACAGACAUUGAUUAGUGCCAUGCAGUCACAAAUCCUCCCACAAAAGCUGGGAGCUCCAAAUUUUCCAAGGGUCCAGGGCCCCAUCUUUUUCUUUUAUCUGUUUGGUUCUUUAUAGGCAGACAAGCACUGAAAGCACUGAGGUGAUAGUGCAGAUAAGAAUGUUUACUUGACAUUCGUGUUAAAACAUUGCUGGAAGCAGCAGAAGUAGCCUCAGGACUCUGCUCCCACCUGCGUCAGGUCAGGGAGGGAGCAACACCAAACUCUGUCGGAGGAUGAGCUGGACCACACAAUGACGAUGCUGCUCAGCAGAGCCCUGUGAGCUCAAGAAAGCUGCAGGGAGUAACACAGCAUGGAUUGCAGCAUAGCACUGCAUCCCCUCUUCUUGGCAGAGGCAGCCAGUGGUGUGUUCUCCAACAUGUGCCCUCAGGAUGGUGUCUCCACUCAAUGUGAGCCUCUCGGUUUCCUCCCACACAAGACAUCUGAGAACAUGUUUGUGGUAAACUUACAAGAAGAAAGAUUUCAAAACAACUGUCCCUUUUCUGGAAGGCUCCUCUUCUCAAAUGACCUUAAAAAAAUAUCAAGCAACACGUACCUUUAACAGAAGACAUACUGCUAAAAGAUGUAUGUAUCUGUGCUUCUCCAGAGUGAGGGGUAAGGGCGAGGUAAGAUGUGGUGAAGGUAAGAAAUGCUGAGGACCUGCUGUUGGGAAGAAUGUGCAGGUAGAUGGCAGCUCUGCCAGGCAUGACCCUGUGCUGGAAGGUGAGUGCCACUGUCACGGGGAUGUCCCCAUGUGGAAAGGCUGGGCCACAUCUCCCUGUCCCCAUGUGGAGAGGCUGGGCUACAUCUCUGUCAGAUGACAAAAUAUCAUCAGGGAGUGACCCUAGGCACCAGUCUGGAACAUAAGGCCUGUGUGGCCUAGUACAGCCUGGUCCAGGCCCACCAGUGUCCUCCUUGGGGUCAUUGUCCAUGGGGUCUCAGCUCCAGAAAGCAACUGCGAGCACCAUUUAUUGGAGCUGGCUUGCUACCAGCUGCACAGGGAGACAGCAUUUUUGGAUGUAAAAAUAUUUUAUAGGUUGGGAGUUCAAUUUAAUUAGGUAAUAGUUUGGUUUAAAAUGGGAAUAUUUUUCCCCUGACAAUAUUAUUUACCAUGAGGGUUCCUUUUUUGGUGUGUGUGAAACUUUCUGAAUUUUAAUGGCAGGAAAAAAAAAAACACAAAGGAUUAUGCUGUACACUUAGUCAUCUUUGAUGUAGUGUUCUGAUACCCCAUGCUUUUUAAAUUUUUCUUAACCUGUUGUGAAAAUUAAAUACUGUGCUGACUCCUCUACCAAGUGCAAGAGGACACACUCAUUUUCAUACCUCAUACCUGCAGUUGUAAAUGCUGGAGGACUUCUCUGCAGUAAUGUCCACACAUCAAAACAGUAUGCUCACAUUUAGAAAUAAUACUACUACAUGCAAACUGUGACAAAAUGCCCAGGGGCUUCUCUCUUUUCUUUGAGAGGCUGUACAUUUCUUAUGCCUUCCUUCCUGCUGAAAUUCAACAAGAAAUCUGAUUUCUUUUGGAAACUGAACAUCAACAAGAUUUCCGUCUUCUCUGUCAUAAGCAUAUAGACUACAAUAGAUCUCACAGGUUUUUUUUGUUCUUGUUAGAUUCAAUCAAGUGCUGAGCCACAAACUGAACAGACUGUUCAGACUGAAAAAAUAAAUAAAUAAAAAAUAAAAGUUAUGUUUUCA
Molecule: long non-coding RNA, 2048 nt
Filed under: Anas platyrhynchos platyrhynchos (common mallard)
Lineage: Eukaryota; Metazoa; Chordata; Aves; Anseriformes; Anatidae
Description: lncRNA (ENSAPLG00000023682.1)
Source: RNAcentral